Molecule: long non-coding RNA, 371 nt
Filed under: Medicago truncatula (barrel medic)
Lineage: Eukaryota; Viridiplantae; Streptophyta; Magnoliopsida; Fabales; Fabaceae
Description: long non-coding RNA (MTRU_LNC005567)
Source: RNAcentral
CUAGGAGUUGACAAUUUAUUUUAGAAUUGUUCUGAGAUGGAGCAGGGUUUUUCUCCAAGCUUGGAUUGUUUUGCCUUACAUCAUUAUAAACAUAGAACUUGGCAACAAAUAUGAAGCAUAUGAGGUUGAGUAAGCUUAAUACUACCAUGAAAGCAUAAUAGUAAUCUAAACGAGAGAUGUUUAGAUUAUUCAAAAUCCAACCUUUGUGACCAUGUCUUUGAGUGAUAUCAGCAACAGUUGACAGAAUGAAGGCACUAACAAAACCUCCCAAACCCAAGCUUGUUGUGGAAAGUGAUGCUCCAAGACUUUUCAUGCCUUCUGGUGCUUGAUCAUAAAAAAACUCCAUCUUAGCAAUUUCAACAAAGCUAUCA